Molecule: ribosomal RNA, 774 nt
Filed under: uncultured Neocallimastigales
Lineage: Eukaryota; Fungi; Neocallimastigomycota; Neocallimastigomycetes; Neocallimastigales
Description: partial large subunit ribosomal RNA
Rfam family: Eukaryotic large subunit ribosomal RNA
Source: RNAcentral
CGCAUCUGUGCAUGCAGCAUAUCAAUAAGCGGAGGAAAAGAAACUAACAAGGAUUCCCCUAGUAACGGCGAGUGAAGCGGGAAGAGCUCAAAUUUGAAAUCUUAAAGGGUUUCCCUUUACGAAUUGUAGUUUAAAGAAGUGUUUUCUGUUGAGGUUUUGGUAAAAGUUCUUUGGAAUAGGACAUCAUAGAGGGUGAGAAUCCCGUAUUUGACCUUUACUUUCAACUUUGUGAUACACUUUCAAAGAGUCGGAUUGUUUGGGAAUGCAGUCCAAAAUGGGUGGUAAAUCUCAUCUAAAGCUAAAUAUUGGCGAGAGACCGAUAGCGAACAAGUACCGUGAGGGAAAGAUGAAAAGAACUUUGAAAAGAGAGUUAAACAGUACGUGAAAUUGUCAAUAGGGAAGCGUUUGACACCAGUGUUGUUUUUCUGAAAAUCAAUUAAAGAACUGUUUAUGCUAAGUUGUUUAGACUUUAUCAGCUAACUGUUUAGUUUUGAGCUUUUCUUUAAUGCACUUUUCAGUUAACAAGUCAACAUCAAUUUCUUUUGCUGUAAAAAAGCUUGAGGAAGGUGGCUUGAGAUUCGUCUUAAGUGUUUAUAGCCUCUUGCCUAUGCAGUCGGAGAGAUUGAGGUCUGCAGCGUAGAUCCUUCGGGGCUAAAUGCAUUUGUGCUAAGUUAUAACAUUUUAUAGACAACUUGUUGACUAUGAUUUGUCUUGUAGCUUACUCGCUUAUGUUAUUUUACCUACGCUUAGGAUGUUGAGCGCAUGUCUCUCUCU